This 216-nucleotide ribosomal RNA is filed under the name Glomeromycotina sp. RNAcentral describes it as "partial small subunit ribosomal RNA". The stretch from base 44 to 216 matches the Rfam family "Eukaryotic small subunit ribosomal RNA", at positions 690 to 864 of the family's 1831-position model. The record is from RNAcentral. Lineage: Eukaryota; Fungi; Glomeromycota.
GGGUCAGUAGGCUGGUCGUGCCACCGGUACGUACUGGUCUCACUGAUUCCUCCUUCCUGAAGAACCGUAAUGCCAUUAAUUUGGUGUUGCGGGGAAACAGGACUGUUACUUUGAAAAAAUUAGAGUGUUUAAAGCAAGCUAACGCUUGAAUACGUUAGCACGGAAUAAUGAAAUAGGACGAUCGAUCCUAUUUUGCUGGUUUCUAGGAUUGACGUA